RNAcentral lists this long non-coding RNA (1341 nucleotides) under Anas platyrhynchos platyrhynchos (common mallard). Its description in RNAcentral is "lncRNA (ENSAPLG00000018844.1)". Lineage: Eukaryota; Metazoa; Chordata; Aves; Anseriformes; Anatidae. The record is from RNAcentral.
CUCUACAGUUCUGAUGAGUGCAUUGUAUCCACAACGUUGUUGAGGAACCUGCAAGCUGUUGGUUUAUAAGAGAAGAGAAUACAGAAGUCACUAAAAGAAGCAGCUCCUUUGCCGACAGGGGAGAUGGCAGCAACCAAGGGAAAUGAAAGAGGAGGACUGAACAUACUGCAAAGGGAGGAAAAAAGGGAAUGGCCAAACAAAAACGGAGCCAGCUCUGCCUCCAGCCCUCCUCACCACCUUGCAGCUAGAGCCGCCCAGGAAACACUGAGAUGCUGCAGUGCUAACCAUCUUCAUACAGUCUGUCCUUGUGCUUCAAGGCACCGUUGGGAGCCCAAGAGCGGGCCUUACCUUGGAAAAACAAUUCCCUUCAUCUUUGCAGUGGGGGAGUUUCGUUUCCACGUGUUGGCAGUGGCAAUGGGUCUGAGUGUAGAGGGAAAUGAGUUGGGAAGAUGAGAGAUGCUUCAUACACUGCACGUGCAGCUGAACCCCUGAGACUGUCUGUAACAAGAAUACAGUGCUCAAGUACUGACAGCACUUGGCGCGGCUCCUUAUAUAAGAGACGAACCCUGACAAAACUGAUGUAUUCUUGAAAAUGGAAGUUAACCUCUGCAUUAUUAAACAUAUCCUAGAAGUCUUCAUCAGCUUGCCAUUAUUCAACUUUUAAAAAAAUCUGGUAGUAUAUUUUAUUCUUUUAAAUUAUUAUUAAAAGGUAGAAGAAUUAAAGCCUAGGACUAAAAGUAUUACUUAUCGCAGUAUUUCCACAGCUUCCCAAGAGGCUCUGGUUUCACAUGUGCUCCAAGCAAUGAGCAUUGCUUCAGAAGUCGGUGAGGUGCUGAAAAAGAGCAUACCAAUUUCACUUACAAUACUAGUUGCUGGUUUAUUGUAGGUGAUAAUAUUUACUUGCUACCCUGUCCUUCCAGGCACUACUCUGGACCCUGCUGCCAUAGGUUUCGGCAGAAACAUGGGGGUGUUCUUGAAAAGUCUUCCAUGAUUCAUACCAGGAGCUAAUGACAAAUACAGUCUCAAUAUUUAUUUUUAUUUUUUUUCCCUUUCAGAAGGACACUAAUUUUUGGAAAAGUACUUUUCUUGUUGGCAGCUAGGCAGAACUGCUUCUCCUUCCACAGGUCUUUUGACAUGUGUAGGACAACAAAAGGACAUAAAAUAGGCUAGUAAGCACAUGUGAAAGAUUGCUUGUAGUUCCUAUAACCGCAAAAAGGUGAUCACCUUUGUUUGAUUGCAUAAAAGAUGUGCUUUAAAGUCAACAGUUUGCGAGUCUUUUGAUAGCCAGACAGAAAACUAAAAUGUCUCUUUUGGGGAAAAAAAAUCGUGUGUGAAACAAUG